GAUGAACGCUAGCGGCAGGCUUAAUACAUGCAAGUCGAGGGGCAGCAUGACUGUAGCAAUACAGUUGAUGGCGACCGGCAAACGGGUGCGGAACACGUACAGAACCUUCCUUCGAGCGGGGAAUAGCCCAGAGAAAUUUGGAUUAAUACCCCAUAGUACAACGGAGUGGCAUCACUUUGUUGUUAAAGAUUUAUCACUUGAAGAUGGCUGUGCGGCUGAUUAGGUAGUUGGCGGGGUAACGGCCCACCAAGCCUGCGAUCAGUAACUGGUGUGAGAGCACGACCAGUCACACGGGCACUGAGACACCGGGCCCGACUCCUACGGGGAGGCAGCAGUAAAGGAAUAGUUGGUCAAUGGAACGAAAGUCUGAACCAGCCAUGCCGCGUGGAGGAUGAAGGUCCUCUGGAUUGUAAACUUCUUUUAUAUGGGACGAAAAAAGGGUUUUCUAACUCGUCUGACGGUACCAUAUGAAUAAGCACCGGCUAACUCCGUG
RNAcentral lists this ribosomal RNA (493 nucleotides) under uncultured bacterium. RNAcentral's name for it is "bacterial SSU rRNA". It matches the Rfam family "Bacterial small subunit ribosomal RNA", at positions 28 to 507 of the family's 1533-position model. The record is from RNAcentral.